Gorilla gorilla gorilla (western lowland gorilla) is the source of this 101-nucleotide small nuclear RNA. The record is from Ensembl. Lineage: Eukaryota; Metazoa; Chordata; Mammalia; Primates; Hominidae.
GUAGUCACUUCUGCAGCACAAAUACUAAAACUGGAACAAUACAGAAAAGAUUAGCAUGUCCCCCGUUCAAGGAGGGAACACUAUUAUAGUCACCCCUUUGA